RNAcentral lists this ribosomal RNA (326 nucleotides) under uncultured bacterium. RNAcentral's name for it is "bacterial SSU rRNA". It matches the Rfam family "Bacterial small subunit ribosomal RNA", at positions 30 to 355 of the family's 1533-position model. The record is from RNAcentral.
AUUGAACGCUGGCGGAAUGCUUUACACAUGCAAGUCGAGCGGCAGCGCGGUCUUCGGACCGGCGGCGAGCGGCGAACGGGUGAGUAAUACAUCGGAACGUGCCCUGUAGUGGGGGAUAACUAGUCGAAAGAUUAGCUAAUACCGCAUACGACCUGAGGGUGAAAGUGGGGGACCGCAAGGCCUCAUGCUAUAGGAGCGGCCGAUGUCUGAUUAGCUAGUUGGUGAGGUAAAGGCUCACCAAGGCGACGAUCAGUAGCUGGUCUGAGAGGAGGAUCGGCCACACUGGGGACUGAGACAUGGCCCAGACUCCUACGGGAGGCAGCAUG